RNAcentral lists this ribosomal RNA (570 nucleotides) under Myriostoma coliforme. RNAcentral's name for it is "eukaryotic LSU rRNA". It matches the Rfam family "Eukaryotic large subunit ribosomal RNA", at positions 65 to 611 of the family's 3401-position model. Lineage: Eukaryota; Fungi; Basidiomycota; Agaricomycetes; Geastrales; Geastraceae. The record is from RNAcentral.
CUAACAAGGAUUCCCCUAGUAACGGCGAGUGAAGAGGGAAGAGCUCAAAUUUGAAAUCUGGCAGUCUUAUGGCUGUCCGAGUUGUAAUCUAGAGAAGUGUUUUCCGUGCUAGACCGUGUACAAGUCCAUUGGAACAUGGCGUCAUAGAGGGUGAGAAUCCCGUCCAUGACACGGUGACUAGUGCUCUGUGAUACACUCUCAACGAGUCGAGUUGUUUGGGAAUGCAGCUCAAAAUGGGUGGUAAAUUCCAUCUAAAGCUAAAUACAGGCAAAAGACCGAUAGCGAACAAGUACCGUGAGGGAAAGAUGAAAAGCACUUUGGAAAGAGAGUUAAACAGUACGUGAAAUUGUUGAAAGGGAAACGCUUGAAGUCAGUCGCGUCUUCAGAAAUUCAGCUAGUGNNNNNGUUCACUAGUGCACUUUUCUGUUGGACGGGCCAGCAUCAGUUUCAGCCACCAGAAAAGGGUGAGAGAAAGGUAGCAUCUCCGGAUGUGUUAUAGUCUCUCACUAUAUGGUGGCAGGGAUCGAGGAAUGCAGCACGCCCUUGUUGGCCGGGGUUCGCCCACGUAAC